Molecule: ribosomal RNA, 757 nt
Filed under: Bacillus sp. (in: firmicutes)
Lineage: Bacteria; Bacillati; Bacillota; Bacilli; Caryophanales; Bacillaceae
Description: bacterial SSU rRNA
Rfam family: Bacterial small subunit ribosomal RNA
Source: RNAcentral
AUACAUGCAAGUCGAGCGCACAGAUGCGGAGCUUGCUCCCUGAUGUUAGCGGCGGACGGGUGAGUAACACGUGGGUAACCUGCCUGUAAGACUGGGAUAACUCCGGGAAACCGGGGCUAAUACCGGAUGCUUGUUUGAACCGCAUGGUUCAAACAUAAAAGGUGGCUUCGGCUACCACUUACAGAUGGACCCGCGGCGCAUUAGCUAGUUGGUGAGGUAAUGGCUCACCAAGGCAACGAUGCGUAGCCGACCUGAGAGGGUGAUCGGCCACACUGGGACUGAGACACGGCCCAGACUCCUACGGGAGGCAGCAGUAGGGAAUCUUCCGCAAUGGACGAAAGUCUGACGGAGCAACGCCGCGUGAGUGAUGAAGGUUUUCGGAUCGUAAAGCUCUGUUGUUAGGGAAGAACAAGUACCGUUCGAAUAGGGCGGUACCUUGACGGUACCUAACCAGAAAGCCACGGCUAACUACGUGCCAGCAGCCGCGGUAAUACGUAGGUGGCAAGCGUUGUCCGGAAUUAUUGGGCGAAAAGGGCUCGCAGGCGGUUUCUUAAGUCUGAUGUGAAAGCCCCCGGCUCAACCGGGGAGGGUCAUUGGAAACUGGGGAACUUGAGUGCAGAAGAGGAGAGUGGAAUUCCACGUGUAGGGGCGAAAUGCGCAGAGAUGAGAAGGAACACCAGUGUCGAAGGCGACUCUCUGGCCUGCACCUGACUCUGAGGAGCGAUAGCGUGCGAAGCGAACAGGAUCAGAUACCCUG